Molecule: ribosomal RNA, 449 nt
Filed under: uncultured bacterium
Lineage: Bacteria
Description: bacterial SSU rRNA
Rfam family: Bacterial small subunit ribosomal RNA
Source: RNAcentral
AACGAACGCUGGCGGCAUGCCUAACACAUGCAAGUCGAACGAAGUCUUCGGACUUAGUGGCGCACGGGUGCGUAACGCGUGGGAAUCUGCCCUUGGGUGCGGAAUAACUUCUCGAAAGGGAUGCUAAUACCGCAUAAUGUCGUAAGACCAAAGAUUUAUCGCCCAAGGAUGAGCCCGCGUAAGAUUAGCUAGUUGGUGGGGUAAAAGCCUACCAAGGCGACGAUCUUUAGCUGGUCUGAGAGGAUGAUCAGCCACACUGGGACUGAGACACGGCCCAGACUCCUACGGGAGGCAGCAGUGGGGAAUAUUGGACAAUGGGCGAAAGCCUGAUCCAGCAAUGCCGCGUGAGUGAUGAAGGCCCUAGGGUUGUAAAGCUCUUUACCAGGGAUGAUAAUGACAGUACCUGGAGAAUAAGCUCCGGCUAACUCCGUGCCAGCAGCCGCGGUAAU